RNAcentral lists this ribosomal RNA (322 nucleotides) under uncultured eukaryote. Its description in RNAcentral is "partial 18S ribosomal RNA". It matches the Rfam family "Eukaryotic small subunit ribosomal RNA", at positions 1470 to 1796 of the family's 1831-position model. The record is from RNAcentral.
CCCUUAGAUGUUCUGGGCCGCACGCGCGCUACACUGAUGCAUUCAACGAGUGUACCUUGGCCGAGAGGCCUGGGCAAUCUUUUGAACGUGCAUCGUGAUAGGGAUAGAUUAUUGCAAUUAUUAAUCUUGAACGAGGAAUUCCUAGUAAACGCAGUUCAUCAAACUGCAUUGAUUACGUCCCUGCCCUUUGUACACACCGUCCGUCGCACCUACCGAUUGGAUGGUCCGGUGAAGCCUCGGGAUUGUGGCGGUUGCCUUUAUUGGUGGCCGCCGCGAGAACUUGUCUAAACCUUAUCAUCUAGAGGAAGGUGAAGUCGUAACA